GAACUGAAGAGUUUGAUCAUGGCUCAGAUUGAACGCUGGCGGCAGGCCUAACACAUGCAAGUCGAGCGGAUGAAGGGAGCUUGCUCCUGGAUUCAGCGGCGGACGGGUGAGUAAUGCCUAGGAAUCUGCCUGGUAGUGGGGGAUAACGUCCGGAAACGGGCGCUAAUACCGCAUACGUCCUGAGGGAGAAAGUGGGGGAUCUUCGGACCUCACGCUAUCAGAUGAGCCUAGGUCGGAUUAGCUAGUUGGUGGGGUAAAGGCCUACCAAGGCGACGAUCCGUAACUGGUCUGAGAGGAUGAUCAGUCACACUGGAACUGAGACACGGUCCAGACUCCUACGGGAGGCAGCAGUGGGGAAUAUUGGACAAUGGGCGAAAGCCUGAUCCAGCCAUGCCGCGUGUGUGAAGAAGGUCUUCGGAUUGUAAAGCACUUUAA
This 435-nucleotide ribosomal RNA is filed under the name Pseudomonas aeruginosa. Its description in RNAcentral is "bacterial SSU rRNA". It matches the Rfam family "Bacterial small subunit ribosomal RNA", at positions 1 to 438 of the family's 1533-position model. Lineage: Bacteria; Pseudomonadati; Pseudomonadota; Gammaproteobacteria; Pseudomonadales; Pseudomonadaceae. The record is from RNAcentral.